AUACGUAGGGUGCGAGCGUUAUCCGGAAUCAUUGGGCGUAAAGCGCGCGUAGGCGGUUUAGUAAGUCGGAUGUGAAAGCCCUGGGCUCAACCUGGGAAUUGCAUUCGAUACUGCUUGACUAGAGUAUGGUAGAGGGAAGUGGAAUUUCCGGUGUAGCGGUGAAAUGCGUAGAUAUCGGAAGGAACACCAGUGGCGAAGGCGACUUCCUGGGCCAAUACUGACGCUGAGGUGCGAAAGCGUGGGGAGCAAACAGGAUUAGAUACCCCAGUAGUCC
RNAcentral lists this ribosomal RNA (274 nucleotides) under uncultured bacterium. RNAcentral's name for it is "partial 16S ribosomal RNA". It matches the Rfam family "Bacterial small subunit ribosomal RNA", at positions 523 to 796 of the family's 1533-position model. The record is from RNAcentral.